UACCAGACGAUGACCGGAGGGAGGCCUGAACUACAGUAAGGCAAGGGCUAGGUCACGGUGGUGUCUGAGGUCAAGACGGGUGGAUCAGAGUGGAAGAGCGCAGGUAGACAGGGCCACACACCGGCCAGUGUGUCGGCAUGGGAUCUCUUGCUCAAGUCUGGGACUCUCAGAGUCUAGAAUUUCCUCUGCUGUACCUACACUCAACAAGUUCACCCCGGGUCGCGGAUAUCUCAUUUUUUAAAAUGACGAGGUUAAGGUUCCUGACUGAGAGUGGUAUUAAAUUGCACCGGGAUGGGGGUGGGGAAGGAGAAGGAAGUUCCCCCCCAUAUGAGCGAAUGUUCUUGAAAGUCCAGAGUAUGUAAGGCUGAAAGGGGCCUUUCCUAGUCUACAAGUGGGUCCUACUUCUAAUUUCAUAUUUUCUGAUUUCCUAAUGCGUCUGUACUUUGGAAACGAACAGGAUAUUUUGGCAGGGUCUUGCCUUUGCGUGGAAGGGCUAUAAAUAUGAUUCGCCUGGAAGACCAGGAGUGAAGGCUUCUGCCAGACAUAUGGGACAAAGUUCUUUCAAUCUCAAGUGCAUCCCUUCAAGAUAUGUUUUAGGAAAAUAUCAGAAAAUAGCUGUACCUCAUGGUUUGGCGUUUUUCUCACCAAUAUUAAACCUUGCCUGGGAACAAAACCCAACCAGACCCGCCAUUAAACUGCAUUUCUCCUUGGUCCCUAAUUCUCCUUGGUCCCUAAUAGAAAAUAAAGUCCCCUCUAAAAUUCAUACAGCUUUUCUUCCUAAAUCAGCACACCAGUUCAUGCAAUUUGAGGAAGAUAAUGCUGACUCCUCUGAAGGAUGCCCACGGGAUGUAUACACAAGAAAAGUUAACCCAGGGCUACCGCACACACGCCGAGUUUCCUUUGAAUCUGGAGGCUGUUUGGAGUAUGUUCUGUGUUUUCUUGAAUGACUCCGUGGUUUCAAUUCAUUGGUGUUAGCAGGAAAAACAGGCAAACAAACUUGCUCAAUUUGUUUUGAGUGCCAAAUCCCUUCACUUUGAAAUAGCUAACAGUCGACUCAUUUUAUGGAAAGAGUUAGCCUCUUCAGUCUCCAGGAAAACCGACGAGAGAUCUGCAUUUUAAGCCAUCUCUAACCUUGUAAGAUCCAUGAAAACUCAAACUUUUUCUCCUAACUCAAUGGGAAACCAAAGUAAUGCCAUUUAAAGGAAGAGAUUCAGGAGGAAAACAGUCACGUGCUGUUUUUAUUUUUAUUUCCUCUUCCCCCCACCCCCUUUGAGCCUUUUGGGGGAAAAAAAUCAAGCAUCUCAACAAGUCCUCUCACUGAACUCUGGUCUCACCUCACCGGAAUACUUCCUGAACAAGAACAUUGUCAUCUCUGCCCAUCCAUUAUUAUUUUGCUGGGUCGUCACCCUCUAAAAUAAUGGGCUAUUGCCCCAUCUCUCUCUUAUUUUUCCCUUUGCAUUUUAGAGACAUUAAGAGGGGCUCCUAAAAGAUCAGUCUGGCCAGGAGCUGGUGGCGUGGCUGGAGAGUCUCACAGAAAUGUGGGAAGAAGCUGGAAAUCAAGACCGGCUUGAGAGCAGAGGAAAAGAGAAAGGAGCAGAGUAGAGAGCCGCGCACAUCUGCCCAGACAACUCUUUCCCCACUUUCAGGAUUCAGAGAGUUGAUGUCAUGGAAACAAGCAGUGGAGUGAGAAUGGUGCUCAGCCAGGCUAGGGUGACUAGGAGUAUGGAGUAAUGGAGCAUGUUGGCUGAAGGAUGUUGAGUAGACGGGACAAGAAACUUCAGCAGUGUAUGGCAAGGUAUGGUUGUGCCCCAUACGUGUGGCUGAAGCCCAUGGACGUGAGAAGAGGCUGUCAGGUUCUCUGGAACUGGAGCUACAGAAGAUUUCGAGCUGCUAUGGUGAAGUUCUGAAGAGUAUGUUGUUCCCGUAUUUGUGCUUUGCCAAGGGACUCUUACAUCUACUCUUGUUAUGGACAAGGAGUUUACCUGGCUCAUCGGCCUUUUAUUUUGUUUUGUUUUGAAUUCAUCUUGGUUUCUGUUUGCUGCUCAAUCUUUCUUAAUUUUU
Mus musculus (house mouse) is the source of this 2061-nucleotide long non-coding RNA. RefSeq annotates it as predicted gene, 40149. NCBI's taxonomy places the organism in Eukaryota, Metazoa, Chordata, Mammalia, Rodentia, Muridae. The record is from RefSeq and is a predicted model, not a curated record. The transcript is spliced from 4 exons.